Molecule: small nuclear RNA, 106 nt
Organism: Nycticebus coucang (slow loris)
Lineage: Eukaryota; Metazoa; Chordata; Mammalia; Primates; Lorisidae
Source: RefSeq, a predicted model, not a curated record
UCUGAUUUAGGCAGCAAAAUUCUAUUAAAUUAGAAUCAUACAGAGACCUUUAGCAUGGCUCCUGGGCAAAGAUGAUAUUUAAUUUCACGAAGCAUUUCACAUUUUU